UUUUAACUUCUAUGUAAAAAGGUAUUUAGGCUCAUUAUGCAAGGAAAUUACAGCUGCUUUCAUUCCCGACUGCAUAAAAAACCACCAUUCCACGGCCACCAUACUCGAGGUAAAAAUGAGUACGGCGGUGCGAGGCAGUUUAAUUUACUCCUUCACCAGAACUACGCAGUUGAUUAUGAACAACAGAUAGGCAGAAAGAGGAGAAACAAAUUAUUCUUAUACUAAAGCUUAGAAUUCUUUAAUCUACCCCCAAACAACAACGAAUGGCAUCUACUAGCUUUUAAGCAACUUCUGUUCUGCAGAAAAAAACUACGUAAAAAAAGUUGCUAAAACUAUCAGUUGCGACAUCGCUGCUAACAAAUUAUCGACUAAACUUGUCGAUAAUAACGAAUUCCCCUAGUAAGCCAAACAUAACAUUGAGAGGAAACGUAACGAUUAAAUAUUAAUUCAAAAAAUGGUCCAUGUGACUGC
Schizosaccharomyces pombe (fission yeast) is the source of this 471-nucleotide non-coding RNA. NCBI's taxonomy places the organism in Eukaryota, Fungi, Ascomycota, Schizosaccharomycetes, Schizosaccharomycetales, Schizosaccharomycetaceae. The record is from the annotation of a GenBank genome assembly.